This 6273-nucleotide long non-coding RNA is filed under the name Homo sapiens (human). RNAcentral's name for it is "HSALNT0200952". The record is from RNAcentral. Lineage: Eukaryota; Metazoa; Chordata; Mammalia; Primates; Hominidae.
UGGUGCUUGGCACUGCACCCCCUGAUGCCAUGGAAGGCGCACAGUCUGUGCCCCAGCAGGAUUUAUUCAGUGAGCAAGUCUGGAAAGGGCUGCUCCAGAAGGAGGGUGAAGGCUGGGCUGCACAGAGCCUGCACCUUCUUUGUAUUUUUACAUUGGGCUUCUCUGACUGCCCCUAAAAUAAAAAUGGGGAUAAUCCAUUUUCCUGUGAGAGAAAUGAAAACCCACGAAGACUAAAUGUCCUGCCCGCUGUCCAGGUGCAGUGAGGGGCGUGGCCGGGACCAGAAUCCCUGCUUCCCUGUUCUCUAGUCAGUGCUGCUGCUGGAAACCAGAGUCUUCUUUUGUUUUCCCUCUCACCUCUGGCUGCCUCUCUCUCCCCUCAAAGGUCAGAGCAGUGCCAAGGACAGAAGAGAGAGUAGAUCCAGCCUUGGCCCUGCUAGGCUGGGCAGCCUGGCAGGUAGAGUCAGCAGGGAUAGAGCUUGCUUUCCUGUUCACGAUCUUCAGCCAAGUUCAGGGAGGUCUGAAUACUGAGGCCUUCAUAGCCACUGCACCCCAGGUAGCUCAGGAGAACCUCCGAGCGCAGGAGUGCAAAGGCUGGCAUUCUUCAGGCUCUGAGGCUGUCCCUUCCGGUGGAGGUGAACUGCUUCUUAUUGAUGUGGACAAGACUGUGGACACAGCAAACAGCAGUGCUGCGGAGGUAUGUCUAAUUGCAGAUACUUUUUGUUCAUCAUCGUAUUGAACGUCGUUGCGUGUUCCAGCAGCCAUCAACUUCCUCAGGAGGAAAAUUCAAUUGUGCACUGAGCGACAGCGUGAAGAGACCGGGCCAAGCAGGCAGGGUGCUGCAGGUCAACAAGGUGCUGCUGUGCUCCUGAAGCCUUCAGGAGCCUCAGCCUGAGAGCUCAGGAAAGGGUGGGGCUCCAACCCACCUGGCUUUCCGCCUUACUGAGCUCCAAACACAGGCUUGUUCCACAUCACGGAGAGCCCUUAUCCUGCAUGUGCGUCUCGCUCCCUGACAAGCCUAUUUGUGCCUUGUCACCAGAAAUGUACCUUUUUUCUUCUCUCAUCUGUCCCUGACACCCCCAGCUUAUCUAGCCUGAAGAGAGGCUAUCAAAAUGGUAAUAGCCAGAUGGAAAACAAGGAAAAAUAAGCCCUUUCCCAUAAGGAAGCAAUACGGAUUUUGGAACCGGAGAAAUUUCUACUAUUCUCCCAACAUCAUUCCCUCCGCCUUGGGUGUGCUUCCGAGAGGGUUGGAGGUGUCACCUGCCGUACCCUAGGACUGGCUGAGGGAAAACACACCUGAAGAUUUCCUGUAAAUGAAAAAGUGAAUCACUAAAAGGGGGAGCUGUCAUCCCCUGGCAUUUCUCUGUGCACAGGCGACCUAGUGUUGGGAUGGCAGCAGAACCCAGACAACUGAGCCAACACGUGGAGGGAAGCCCUCACUAGCCUGCAUUCGACUUGUGUGAGAGAGAAGUGAACGUUUACGUGCAAAGCCACUGAGCUUUUGUUGUUGUUCCUGCAGCACAGGGCAUUCUAACCUGCCUAAUACUGAAACGAGUACUGUUAGGCUUGAUCUGUGAAGAGGAGAACAUAAAAGGCCUGCAUAUUCUCUUUUAGGUCCUAAAAAUGCAGUGCUCUCUUCUUGGCCUUGCUGUGACCAGGCUGUUUAAAAUCUGUCACCCCGCCAGUCGCCACUGUAUUAUCUUGCUUUAUUUUUCUUCAUAGUAUUUAUUGAUAAUUUAUGUGCUUAUUAUGUCUCCCUGACUGGAAUGUAAGUUUCAUGAAGGCCAGGACUUGUGCCUUAAAACAGGGCCUGGCACAGAGUAGGCACUUAAUGUGUAUUUUUGAAAGUGAAUUGUGGGCUGAAAAUUCUGAUUUUUCAAAAAAGUUAAUAAAGGUGAAGGCCUUCCUUGCCUUUAUUAAAUGCUUAAAAUGGAUCAGUGGUGGGGUAGAGAUGGAAGGAGUCACACACAUACUGUACCUUCAACGGGUUUCAAUCUAACUGGGAGACAAAAUAUAGAAACAUGAAACAAGCAGAGAGCAAAUCUCUAGGUACCUAAGAGUUAAUUAAGUACUAAGGGUGUACUUAAAUUUGUGAGGGAGGAAGGGGAAGAGGACUGUCCAGAGGUAUGGCUAACUACCAAAAACUCUCUGGAGCAGACAGCUUUGGCAGCAGACUGAGAGCAGGGUUCUCCAAUUUGAGCUUGCAGAAGAAUCACCUGGAAGGCUUCUAAAACCUAUACUAUUGGCCCCACCCCCAGAGUUUCUGAUUCACUAGAUCUGGAUUAUACCUGGGGAUCUUUUUUUUUUUAGACAGAGUCUUGCUCUGUUACCCAGGCUGGAGUGCAGUGGCACUAUCAUAGCUCACUGCAACCUCGAACUCCCCGGUUCAAGGGAUCCUCCCACCUCAGCCUCCCCAGUAACUGGGAUUUCAGGCAUGUGCCACCAAGCCCGGCUAAUUUUUUUUUUUUUUUUUUUGAGAUGGAGUUUCAUUCUUGUUGCCCAGGCUGGAGUGCAAUGGUGCAAUCUCAGCUCACUGCAAUCUCUGCCUCCUGGGUUCAAGUGAUUCUCCAGCCUUGCCUCCUGAGUAGCUAGGAUUACAGGCAUGUGCCACCACGCCCAGCUAAUUUUGUAUUUUUAGUAGAGAUGGGGUCUCACCGUGUUGGCCAGGCUGGUCUUGCACUCCUGACCUCAGGUGAUCCACCCACCUCAGCCUCCCAAAGUGCUGGGAUUACAGGUGCCCACUGCCGUGCCCAGCUUAAUUUCAGUAUUUUUAGUAGAGAUAGGGUUUCUCUAUGUUGGCCAGGCUAGUCUCAAACUCCUGACCUCAGGCGAUCCACCCACCUUGGCCUCCCAAAGUGCUGGGAUUACAGGCCUGAGCCACCACACCUGGCCUCACCUGUAUUUUAAAUUGAGUUUUACUGGGUAACAGCCAUGGUCAUUCAUUUACAUAUUGUCAAAGGCUGCUUUCAAGCUACAACAGCAGAAUUUAACAGUCUCAAGACCAUAUGGCCUGCAAAGCCUAAAAUAUUUACUGGCCCUUUACAGAUAAAGUUUGCUGACCCCUAGAGAGGAAGUCAUGGCCCAUGGCUGGCAGAUGGAAGCCUCAGGACCUGAAGAUUUCUCAAAGAAAGGGACCUGCUGCUGACAGCAAUUAAUAUAUGUUCACAGCUUGCAGCUGAAGCCUGAUGAUGGCUGUAGGAGAAAGGACAUCACCCAGAUGACAUUUUGCCUCCAAAGCUCUGGGGACCAAUUGUGGAAGAACUGCAGGGAUAUUAUGUUAGAAUGUUCUUGUGUCUGGAUAGGAUGAGAACUGUCUUAUAACAAAGUGCAGCCCCCAUGUCUGAGGGCAUGUUUCCUGUGUUUAGGCACUUCCGAAGCAGGGAGCACCUUCAAGGGGCACUGGCCUUCCCAGAAACAGUGUUUGACCUGUGAUGAUGUCCUGGGGGAGGGGACCUAGGAAAAGACCUUAGCCUUUCCAUAAGGCACGAUUAUUCUCCUCUAUAGAGCCUCAAAAGUCAAGUCAAGUAGCAAGCACACUGUGCUCCAGUCUGUGGCCACAGACACACACAAGGACUGGAGCAAAACCAAACAUAGUGUAUCAUCACCGCUGAACCCCCAGGAGCCCCCAGAUGCUUUUGAACGUGAAAGGAGAAAGAAGCUGUCAGAGAUCAGGUUGAAUGUGGUGGGUUAGGUGUGCGGCAUUGCCUCUGGGUCCCUGCUUUGGUUUAAUUAAACUAAGUCUGGUGGUGAAUUGGUUCCCAAAUGUUCAUUGGUGGAUGGGCGGCAUCAGAAUUGUCUACAUCUUUUAAAAAACACGUACGCAAAACCUAUGCAUGUCUUCCUCUGAGAGUUUGAUUUUCAGCAGGCUUGGGGUGGAUUCCUACUUUUAAGAACUCCCCACGCCCGUCCUAAGUGAUUGUGAUUCCCAGUAAGUGAAUGCUGACAAAUUGAACCUUCCAGCAUGGACAUUUAUUUAUGAAAUAAAUGGACAUUAAUUUCACAGUCUUUCUAUGGAUUCGAGGUGGUGCUGGAUCCACAGGCUCACCUGGCCCCCUAGCUUUCUCUGCAGAAUCUGCCAGUGUGCCUUCAAUCCCAAAAGAAGUCGCUUUUCAUGUGCUGCUGGAGCUUUUGAUUGGCGGUGACUGAGAUGGGACUUUAAGUUCUCACCAGGAUGCAAAGUGGGGUUCCAACUUUACUGCUUUCUGAACCCUGCUGAUCUGUCCCCAACCAAGGCUUGAUUUUCUUCUGAAGCGCAGUAUUUUUAAACUGUGGUUGAAAUCUAUUCAUGGGCUAUAAAAUCAGUUGUUGAGGAUGUAACCAUUUUGAAUUAAUUUUUAAUUCAAAAAAUUAGACUAGAAAUUUUUAAUUUUAAUUCAAAAAAUAGACUAGAAAAAAAUCAGAGUGCAUCAUGUAUGGUAGGGAUAAGUGUAAUUCUUUCUGUAAAACUUGUUUUGGAGGGUAUGUUGUGCAUUGGGCUUCUGUGUAUUUCUUACUACGUUUCACAGGGAAACUGCUGUCAUCUCUGCAGUACAAUAUAGAUCAACAAUGGCCCUAACUUCCCUAAGACAGCUCUCAUGUCUGCUUGCAGAGAACAGAUGGAAAAAGUCACCAGGGAGGGUAGAUUGCCAUAUACAAGUACUUCAGGGAGGCUACCUGGAAACUAAUAGAAAACCAGUUUAUGGAUGAUUGCAGAGCCUGGGGAGAGAAAUCAAUCUUGGACAGUUUUAUGGAUGGCAGCCAACAGCCUACCAUGCUCAGCCCAUCGCACCUGUCACCUGGGGACAAGCAGGGUCUAUCUGGAACGGACUCUGGCCAGGAUUCAGUUUCUCUUUCCUCGAAAUGGGGAUAAUCACCCUCUUGACUAUUGCUGUUAUGGGAAAGGCCAAAUUAGGGGAAAAAAAUUCUGUCCAAUAAGGGAUGAACCACAAAGCUCAGGCCAGUAAUGGCCUCUAUUGGUGGUUUGGGAGGUAUGCUUGUAUGGGCAUUAAGGGAGAAAGAGAAGGUCUGCACUCUAAUCAAGUCUAGGCAAUGUGGGAGUUGGAAAGAGACACAUGGGAACACAGACCCAGUCACCUGAAGGCAAGAGCCUUUCUUUUUCCUCCUCUUGGCAGGCAGCGUGGGCUCCCGGGCCCCAAGCAGGAUCCCUUAGGGCUGAUCUCUUACCACACACUGGUCUGACUUGGUGACCUGGAAGAGGACAGUCAGAGCCAACAGGAUGAGGGGACCAGCUUGGAGAGCAUCUAUUGUAUGCCACCCUUGAGUGGCUGGAAAUGUCUUCUGCCACUUUGCAAGGGGCUGGGGGCUGGGGAGUGGGAGUGGCAAGGGAACACGGGGUGGUAGAUUGUUCCCAGGGCUGCUGGUUUUGGAGCAGUCUGACUACCCUCUCUUCUUAGUGGGAAAGAAAGGAGGAAGAAGGGGGAAGGGAUGCUUUUGGAGGGGAGCUCUAAGGGUGGGAGAAAAGAAAGCCUGAAAGAACAUCACUAAAGGGUCUGAAGUUAAAGACUCCAAUGAACAAGAAGCCCCUAAUUCAAACAGUGCCACUAACACCAAAACCUGUAAAGUGGUCCAGAGAGACCCUGGUCAUGUCUGUAACUUUCCUUUUUAAAGCUCUCGUGAAGUUAAUGAAUGAAAAAAUUGCUAAUGCAAAGAUGGAAAUUAAUAAAAACAAAAGCGUGCUUCAUAUUGCAGGGUGACCACCUCUAAUCCUACCAGUGAUCCUGUGGCUGUCCCUGUAACUUCCUUUGGCAACACCAUGCUUUGAGAAGCUGUGGGGAAGGCUGGCCAGGGAGAGAGCCUCACCCCCCAAUUCUGCCAGCUGAUCCCCCAGAGGGCUGCAAGGCUCCUGAUUUACCCAGACCUCUGGAGUGGCUGAGGCUGGGCUCUGGGGUUGGAUGGUUCUCACCAAGAGGCCUGGGACAUCUGCUCUGUGCUAAGCUCCGAGGCAGACCACAGAGGAGAUAAUGACUAAUCGGACCUUCACAUACAUUGUACAUGCCUUUUCUGAACUGAAAAAGAGAAGAACAAACAAGAUAAAAAUAUUGAAAAAAAAGAAGAAUCAAAUGUGUAGAAAAUGCAAGGUCAUUAGAACUGCCCAGGGCUUCAUUCAGGCAAAGAUCUUGAGGGUCUGGCCAGGGACCUGCUGAGUAAAUCUAGCUCUGGUUCCCCUCCCACAGAUUCCCUGCGCCUCCUCCAACUGCAUAACCAAAUCUCCCCACCUCCCAACUUUCCUUGAGCUAUUCUGCUGUUUUCUUCACUUUAGUUUUCUCACUGUAACCC